RNAcentral lists this ribosomal RNA (124 nucleotides) under uncultured Lactococcus sp. Its description in RNAcentral is "partial 16S ribosomal RNA". It matches the Rfam family "Bacterial small subunit ribosomal RNA", at positions 411 to 525 of the family's 1533-position model. The record is from RNAcentral. Lineage: Bacteria; Bacillati; Bacillota; Bacilli; Lactobacillales; Streptococcaceae.
AAGGUUUUCGGAUCGUAAAGCUACUGUUGGUAGAGAAGAACGUUGGUGAGAGUGGAAAGCUCAUCAAGUGACGGUAACUACCCAGAAAGGGACGGCUAACUACGUGCCAGCAGCCGCGGUAAUA